This is a non-coding RNA of Methanolinea sp. SDB, 74 nucleotides long. The record is from Rfam. NCBI's taxonomy places the organism in Archaea, Methanobacteriati, Methanobacteriota, Methanomicrobia, Methanomicrobiales, Methanoregulaceae.
GGGCUCAUGGUCUAGUCGGUCAUGACGUCGCCCUUACACGGCGGAGGUCGCCGGUUCGAAUCCGGCUGAGCCCA